RNAcentral lists this long non-coding RNA (9509 nucleotides) under Equus caballus (horse). Its description in RNAcentral is "lncRNA (ENSECAG00000059982.1)". Lineage: Eukaryota; Metazoa; Chordata; Mammalia; Perissodactyla; Equidae. The record is from RNAcentral.
CUUACAGUAUGUGGGCCGUAUAUCACAGCAUCCAUGGCAUGGGCUGAGUUAGGAAUGGUGGGGGUGGGGCCAGAAAGAUCCUGACAGAGCAGAGCUCUCUUCUCUUCAAUCUUUUUGCUUGGAGGAGAAAUCUGUUUUUGGUGAUGUCUCGAGUAGGGGAAGAAGAGGCCAAGAGCCUAGCCUAGGUGUUGCCAAUUAAAGAUGCUUUCUUAAGUAAGCAAAUCUUGGCAGGGUGCCUAGACACAGCCCGUGAAGGCCCUCUGGCCUUUUGCAAAUACCCUGUGAAGAGAUAUUGCUCCGGCUAUAGAAGCUGAAGCCCAGAAAAAAAUGUCCGCUGUGGGCUGCUAUGGACUCCUCAUCAUUCAGAGAAAGGCAACUGGCCAGCGAGGAGUGGUUGUUAACAGCGGCUAAGUGUGGAAGGACAGUGACAAUUAGCCAUGAGCUAACAUCUGCUGCUAAUCCUCCUCCUUUUGCUGAUGAAGACUGGCCCUGAGCUAACAUCCGUACCCAUCUUCCUCUACUUUAUACAUGGGACGCCUGCCACAGCAUGGCUUGACUAGCGGCGCCGUGUCCGCACCUGGGAUCCGAACUGGCAAACCCUGGGCUGCUGAGAAGCAGAACGUGCGAACUUAACCGCUGCGCCACCAGGCUGGCCUCUCUUAGCAACUUUGAAGUAUAUAACAUGGUAUGGUUGAGCAUAAUCACUAUGCUGGGCAUUAGAUCCCCAGAACUUCUCCACCUUUUAAGUGGAAGUUUGUACCCUUUGACCAACAUCUCCCCAAUUCCUCCAUCCUAAGCCCCUGGUAACCACCAUUCUACUCUCUGUUUCUAUGAGUUCAUCUUUUUUGUUUUUAUUUAUUUAUUUAUUUUAAAGAUUGGCACCUGAGCUAACAACUGUUGCCAAUCUUCUUUUUCUUUUUUCCUGCUUUUCCUCCCCAAAGCCCCCCAGUACAUAGUUGUAUAUUUUAGUUGUGGGUCCUUCUAGUUGUGGCGUGUGGGAUGCCGCCUCAGCAUGGCCUGGUGAGCGGUGCCAUGUCCUCACCCAGGAUCCCAACCGGAGAAACCCCGGGCUGCCAAAGCAGAGCGCACGAACUUAACCACUCGGCCACGGGGCAGCCCCUAGUUCAUCUUUUUUAGAUUUCAUAUAUAAUUGAGAUCAUACAGUAUUUGUCUUUCCUGUUUGAUUUCUCUCACUUAGCAUAUGCCCUCAAGGUCUGCCCAUGCUGUUGAAGAAGGCAGGAUUUCCUUCUUUCUCAUGACUGAAUAAUAUUCCAUUUUAUUUAUCCGUUCAUCUGUUGAUGGACAUUUAGGUUGUUUCCAUAUUUUGGCUAUUGUGAAUAAUGCCACAAUAAACAUGGUAAUGCAGAUAUCUUUUUGAUAUCCUAUUUUCAUUUCCCAAGACAUAUUAUUAACUGAAAAAAGGAAAAAUUUUAAAAUGGUAUGUUAAGUCAAGUACCAUUUCUCUUACUAUUAAUCUCACUAAAAUAUAUUUAUACAUAUGUAUAUACACACCCAAAUCUAGAUGAAUGGACAUCAAUUGUAACAACGAUUAUCUCUGCUGAUGGGGUUUGGGAAAGUUUGCUUUCUACAUUAUAUAUUUCAGCACAGUUUUAAUUUUUACAUUAACCAUGAAUUUUUAAUCUGAAAAAAGAUAUAUUAAAAAUUAAAUCAGGGGCUGGUCCAGAGGCGCAGUGGUUAAGUUCAUAUGUUCAGCUUUGGCGGCCUGGGGUUCUCUGGUUCGGAUCCCGGGUGUGGACCCACGCACUGCUUGGCAAGCCAUGCUGUGGCAGGCAUCCUACAUAUAAAGUAGAGGAAGAUGGGCACGGAUGUUAGCUCAGGGCCAGUCUUCCUCAGCGAAAAGAGGAGGAUUGGCAGCAGAUGUUAGCUUAGGGCUCAUCUUCCUCAAAAAUAAAAAAUAAAAAUAAAUAAAUAAAAUCGAAUAAAGUAGAAAUAUUUAGAAUGAUAUCUAUCCAAUUAGAUAAAAGAUUAAAACAUAGAAGUUAAGUGACAUAAAAUCAUGAUGAAAUUAAAAUGCACGGGCAAAACGUUAAACUCACAGGUGGCGACAAAUGAGAACAGAGAAGAGGAGGAACAGACCAGGUAAUGCAGCCAUGGGGGCGGGGGGUAGGAAGCCCAAGGGGAGCCCCUCAGAAUGCCUGGCUUGCCCAAGCCCCCUGCAGAGGGAGGGAUGGGGCCCAGAGCCCUGUGUUAGAAAGCAUGUGCCCCUCCUUCCUUUGACGGCGAGGAAAGGGCUCAAGGCUGGUGAUGCCUCGGCUCCAACUUCAGGCACAGUUGGCAGGCAGAGGACCCGACACCAGCCUGCUCUGAGGACACUCUGCUUCUGCCAUAUGCCAAGGACCACGUGGGUGUCGCUCCUUUCUCUGUCCAAGGUCCCCAGUCCAGGGUGUGGCACGUUAUCGCCAACAGGCAGUGCUUGCUGCUGCUGUUGCAAGCUGAGGAGUGGGGAGACCUGCCGAGGGAGGGACGAGGGGCUGCUCUGAGGACGCCGCUCCGCCCUCCUGUGGGUGAGCCUCACCCGGAGCCUUUCAAGCUGCGAGCCUGAGCCCUCCCCCCAGAAGUUCUGACUAAAGUGAUCUUGGCUGCUGUCUAGGCAGCCGCAUUUUAAAGUAUGUUUUAGCUCUUCAUUUUGAGAUGACUUCAAAUGUACAGAAAAGUUAGAAAAAUAGCAUGAAAAGCUCCUGUUUACCCUUCACCCAGAUUCCCCAAUUGUUAACAUUUUACCACAUUUGCCUUAUUUUCUUUCUCCACACACACACUCCUUUCUUCCUCCCUGUAUUUAAGAAUAAGUUUUAGACGUGAUGUCCUAUUACCCCUUCGUGUGUGAGUGUGUAUUCCCAAGAAAGCAAAGACAUCUCCUACAUAGCCAUCGUGCCACCGUCAAAUCAGGAAAUUAAUAACGAUUCAACAGCCCCUUCUAACUGCAGCCCUCGCUCAGAUCUGAGUAUUGUCCCCGGAAUGUCCCUCAGAGGUCCAGGAUCCAGGGCUAAGUCAUGUGUUGUGUUUACUUGUGAUCUGUCUUUAGUUUCCUUCCAGCAGUUUCUCAGACUUCCUUAUCUUUAAUUACCCCAUCAUCUAAGAGUACAGGCUGGUAAUCACUUAGUUAUCGCUUGGUUUGGGUUAGUCUAUUUCUUCACGAUUUACGCAUUUUUGUAAGGAACACCGCAGAAGGAAUGGUGCGUUUUUCUCAUUGCAUCAUAUGAGGGACACACAAUUUGUCUCGUUGUUGAUGACGUUAACAUUUGUCGCUUGGGUAAUGUGAUAUUUGCCAAGUUUCUCCACUAUAAAAUUAACUAAUGGUGUUCACUGAUUAAUAAGUAAUUAAUGGGUACUUCAUAGGGAUGAAUUUUAAGGCUUUUACUGUCUGGUAGGACUUUCCUUUCUCCUCAUUUAUUUAUCUAUAUCACCAUGUGUUCAUGGACUCCUAAUUUAUUCUGAGGUUCAAUCUGAACCGUUGUCGUUUGAUGUCCAAAUUAUGUCGGAGUUUGCCAGUGGGAGCCCCUUCGAGCUAACUCCCGUGGCCGUUCAACAUGUCCCCUUCACUGUUUCAGCUCUUCCUUACUCUCUAGCAAAACAAGAUGCUCCAGGCUCAUCUUGUAUCUUCCCUGUUCCGGCCCUCGGGACAGCCAUUUCUCUAAGGAGCCCCAAUUCCUUUUAUUGGAGGAGGGUAUUUAGAAACCAAGAUCCAGAUGCCAGGUGUGCUCAUUGCUGCCAGGGUGUCAUUCUGUCUGGAGACCCUGCAAGAGAAGCCUGAGUGGCAGUCUGUCAUACCGCAGCAUUUCUUCAUUUUGCUCACAGACACCCCCAAGACAGCUGUCUGUGCCACAUGGUUUCUAUUUGCUCUGCCAUAUCCAGUGUCCAGCCUUCUCCACCUUGCUCUUUGCCCAAGAGCUUGAAGGGUAAGGACCACGAUGAACUGUUCUCAAGUCCUCUGUCACUGUGGUUGGGUUCAGCCAUGGAGGAGUCCCAGGAAGAAAGGGGAAGAAAGAGGGAGGCAGAGUCAGGGUAUUUAUUCCCCUGCCUCCCUUCCUGCAAGGUCUCCUCGAGUUGGCUGUGUCCCUCCGCUGGAAGUCCUCAUUUCUCUCAGGGCCGCUAACCAGACAUAGUCUUCUUCUCCCUGUUCUUACAGCUGCUCCCUCCCCUCACCCCCUCAGGUGGUGAGCCGCAGAACUAAAUGCACACCUUUGUAAAUAACCCCUCCUCAAAUCACAUAAGGGCAAAUGGCUGUCUGUUUCCCCUCAGGACUCUGAUUGACAUCUUUUGGGUCAAACUAUGGGUGCUCCUAAAUUGUUCUCCUUUUUCCCCAGUGAUCCAGAAAAACAAGACUCCUGGUGAAACUGCAGCUCUUGUAGCCAAGCUUCCUUCUCCGGGUCAGGGGUUGGCAAACUUUUUCCAUAAGGGCCAGAUAGUAAGUAUUUUAGGCUUUGAGUCCUACUCUACUUUGCCCUGGUAGAUGGGAUGAGCCACAGACACGAGGUCAGCACCCGGCUUGCCACAGGCAUUCAAGAAAUGCUCCUCAGGUAUUAUCAUUGAGUAACAUGUGUGCUGUGGGAUUAUGCUAGAGAUUCUUCAUAAGGCCUAGGAGCACAGUAUUCGUAAGCUCCCUUUUACAGAUUAGGAAAUGGAAAAUCAUUGAAGUCACUAGCUUGCCAUAAGUCCCAUAAUUAUGCAGUGGGAUAGUCGCAGUAAUCCUCUGAGACAGGAUUCUUUGCUCCCAAUACCAUGCAGAAUUUUUUUGACCAAGCUCUUGCGAAGGCAAUAUUAUUCUAGAGAAUGGUAGCUUAGUGAGAUUUUUGAGGCUAAAAGGGUUUUAGGGUUUGUUGGAAACCAUACCAUCUAUUGGCAGGCUCAGUUCUAGACAGGAUGCAUGGCUAUGGGAUGGUGUACAUGAUAACAGUAGGACUCUGAGAAAGAAAAGAGUGUGUAGAAGGAGAAGACAUUUUUGUUGUCUCCCUAACCGGGUCCUUCUGAUAUCACAGAGUUGCUAGAUCGAACCGUUCCGAAGGCUGCCCUCCCUUUAAAUUAAUUAUUGCUAUUGCCAAUCAGUUCUAGUUAUUGUUAACCAGCCUGAGUUGGGCUUUCUGUUCUGCAACUGAAAACAUGCUAAUAGACACCGAGAGCUUCCUGCUGUUUAUUGAUCGAGAAACCAAAAGAGAAUAUUUAGCAACAAGCAGCUAUUGAAUGCAUAACACCACAGGUGUGUGCUUAUUUUCUCCUGAUUUUGCUUUCUGAAAGGCUGUAAUCAUUUCAGAAAUAGGUGAAAGUGUUUGUUUUGCAUAUUCAGGAAAAUUCAUUAAAUAUUUUUAAUUACUUAGAUCUUGUUUAACUCUUAAUAUACUUGAGUAUAUGUGUUGUUUGAAAAGUACUCAUGACAUAGGGCGAAAGCAAGUGAUAUAAAAUUAUGCUAUUUAUCAUUACAUUUUUUUUGACCAGUAGGUAUUGUUUAAAUGGUGAAAUGCUAACGUGUUAUAUAUAUAAAAUGAUUUUGAGAGGGGGAAGCUUUUAGUUUGUUUGCAACAAAGCGAUGGUAAUUCUUCUGCAAGAGUAUUGUUAACUGUUGCUAUUCCGGUAAGAAAAAAAUGGGCACUCUGGGGAAAAAUAGUAUUCCAAAUGUCUUGAAUGCUCUGUCUGAUCUCUGAAGUCCCCUUUGUUCUGUUGGAAUGCCUAAGUCAAUGAAUUCAGUAGUGAUUUAUUUCAAAGGUCCUAAGGCCUAAAGCUUUGAGAGAGAACGAAAAGAACAAAAGAAAGAUUUUUCAUAGAUUGUAUUAAACCUCCAGGCAUAGAAAAUAUACAAGUGAAAAUACAUCAGAGACAUCUUUGGUCUUUGCUAAAACAUGUGGAAAACAACUCUACGGCUGGCCAGGGUGAAAAGGUAUAUUACUGAUUAACGAGAGGAUUUAUAAUUUAACCAGGAUUUCUUAAUUCCCCCCAAGUAAACCUAGACUGUGACAUCGUGAACUUAUCGGUUUUCCACUGUCUCUGACGGUCAGGUUGCGCACUUUGCCUGGCCUCAUGGCAGAGGUCUGAGCUUGCACAUACUGGGCAUUCAGUAAAAAUAGUUCAUGACUGACUUCUGACUAGAUGAAUUACUGAGGGACUGUAAAAUUAGUUUAAGUAUCUUUUUGACACAGUUUUUACUCCAACACUGCCCAUUCAGGCAUGUUACGUAUUUUGAGUCUCUGUUUUCAGUUACAACAAUGUAGGGUAGUAAAAAGGAGUGAGUUCGAAGAGUGUUUCGUUGCUGCUGUCAUUCGACACUUGACUUGACAUAAUACAUCACCUUGCCAUAAAUAAAAAUUUUGGCAGUAGCUGAUAUAAAUAGUAACAUUUACUGAGUUCUUACUGUAUACCAGGCAACAAGCUGUAUUCUUUACAUGAAAUUUAAAAAUUAAUCCUCGCAACGACUUUCUAGGUUGGUAGUUUUAUUUUUCUUGUUUUACAGAUGAAAAAACUGUGUAAACUAUAUUGCCUCUUGGGCUAUGUAACAUAUACCUUUGCCCAGAAGGAAAAUCAAAACAUUCAUGAUCCUUUUACAAAGAGAUUCCUUUUUGAGUGACAGGAUUUCUUCUAGUCUUUUAACAUAACAGAUACUCCUAAUUCACUCAAAAACUUCUCAAUUAUAAUAGUUCGAUUUGCGUGCUUUUCAGUUACAACUCUUCAAGAACACAAUUUUGUACAUGAAACAAGAAUUAUAAAUUCUGGCCUCAUUAAUGAUAUUUUUACAUUUGAAAGAGAGACAAUUGCUUGAACUUAAAAUAAAUUAAUAUUCCGUAUUUGUUUAAACUACAACUAUAAAAAACAAUUAUAAACAUAUAUAAGAUUUUUAUUGUGGAAACUAAACCUCCAUACACCCAUCACCCAGCUUCAAAAGUUUUGACAACUUUUGAAGCUACCAGUAUAUUUUUGAAGUAUUGUUAAUAAGAAGGGGACCAUAUAAUUUAUUAUCCAAACCAGGACACUUCUGAGAGUGAAAGGGGGUGUUAUUAAUAAUCUCUCCAGGACAACAGGGUAAACCAAGACUCUGCCAGGGAAACCAAGGCACAUGACUGAUUAUCCUGGAACGAAUUCACGUUUGUAAUAGCUAAGGCAUUUAAUAACAUACACAUUGGUAAGACUAUGAAGGACAAAAUCAUUCUAAUGUGAAAGAAGACACACACAUCUCUUGUUAAAUAGUUUUCUAUAUUCAUCAGUGUUAUGGACUCAAUGUUUGUGUCCUCUAAAAAUUCUUAUAUUGAAGCCCUAACCCCCAGUGUGAUGGUAUCAGGAGGUGGGGUUUUGGGAGGUGAUUAGGUCAUGAGGAUAGAGCCCCCAUCAAUGGGAUUAGUGCCGUUAUAGGAAGAGACACAGAGAGCUCCCUCUCCACGCUCCUCUCUCUGCCAUAUGAGGACACAGCGAGAAGGCAGCCAGCUACGAACCAAGAGGCCGGCCCUCGUGAGGGACCAAAUGGGCUGGCAUCUUGAUUUUGGACUUCCCAGUCCCCAGAGCUGUGACAAACGGUUGUCUGUUGUUUGAACCACUCAGUUGGUGAUGUUCUGUUAUGGCAGCCGGAGGAGACGAAGACAAUUAUGUUGAACAGGGCUUGUACAGGCUUUUACGAUUCUGUGGCAGAAUUAAACGAAACGUCUAUUUAAGAGCAUGUAUUUGACGAUGAAUCUAUUACUAUAAUCUAGCAACAGUGCCGUAGUACCAGCUCUAGCACGGCAGUUAAAGUGCGUGGGAGGAGGCAAACCUAAACGUGUGAUGGAUGCCUGCCAAUUGCUCGCUGGACGUGUUCCUCAGCCUCUCUCUUUUAGUGGGGAAAAUAACAGGAUUCAUUUCAUACGGCUGCUGUGAGGACAAGCGGGUAAUGCAGGCAAAGCCCACAGCAUGUUGCCUGACACACGUGAACACUCAGUGAAGACUGCCUCUUCUUUUCUUCCUCUCCUUCCUCCUCCGCCUCUUCUCCCCUGCUCAGGCUCCCCCUGGGCCCGGCAGCUGAGGUCAGCUUGUUGUGCCGUCGGCUUUACAGGGAAGAUGGAGCAGAAGAACUGGAGCUGCUCCAGGGCGGGGACAAGACUGUCACCGGACACGCUCGCCAGAUACUGAGGCAACGUGCGACAGGUCGUUGCUCGUCCCUAGUCAGAGGGAGCUCAAAGUGUCAGAACUUGAGCGUUUCAAAUCACAACCCUGGGGGCUGGCCCUGUGGCCCAGUGGUUAAGUUUGUGCACUCCGAUUUGGCGGUGCGGGAUUUCGCCAGUUCAGAUCCAGGGCGAGGACAUGGCACCACUCGUCAGGCCGUGCUGAGGUGGCCUCCCACAUAGCACAACCAGAAGGACCACAACUACAAUAUACAACUGUGUACUGGUGGGCUUUGGGGAGAAGAAGAAGAAGAAGAAAAAAAAAGAAGAUUGGAAUAGUUGUUAGCUCAGGUGCCAAUCAAAAAAAAAAAGAAUUAAAAAAAGAACAUAAAAUAAAAUCACAACCCUACUUAUAAUGAAAGACUGGUGAGGCCUAAAUGUAUGAAUUAAAAGUAAAAUCGGGGCGGGGGGGCCAGCCUGUGGCAUAGUUGUUAAUAAGUUGUUAUUAAAAAGGUGACCAUAUAAUUUAUUAUCCAAACCAGGACACUUCUGAGAGUGAAAGGGGGUGUUAUUAAUAAUCUCUCCAGGACAACAGGGUAAACCAAGACUGCCAGGGAAACCAAGCUCGCACGCUCUGCUUCGGUGGCCCAGGGUUUACAGGUUUGGAUCUUGGGCACAGACCUAGAUGCUGCUCAUCAAGCCAUGCUGUGGCAGCAUCCCACAUGCAAAAUAGGGGAAGACUGGCACAAAUGUUAGCUCAGGGCCAAUCUUCCUCACCCAAAAAAGAAAAAAAAAAGUAAAAUAGGGAUAUUAUUCACCUCAGAGAAUUGCUUUGAGGAGUCAAUCAAAUAACUUGUGUGUGGGGUGUAGGACAGUCUGGCUCAUUGUAGGCCUCAAAAUGGUGGUUACCUUAUGAGUUUACUUCUAGAGAAUCUGCUGAGGAGACACAAUGAAUGGAGAAGAGUCACUCUGAAGCUUUUUUCUCUGUCGCCAAGGAGGCAAAUCCCUGACACCCCUUCUUAGACCCCAGAGGAUUCUUCCUUAAUGGCCAACAGCUCAAAUCCACUCAGAGGACUAGGUCAAUAUUUAGAUGGAAAAGAUGUCACUCCCUCCUCACCAAAUGUCAACAAAUAGAAGGGCAAAAAUGUUUUUUUUUUUAAAAAAGAAGUUUCCUACAAGAUUUGUGCCUAUUAGUAAAUUUCCAUAGCUAAUGAUUUUUGUCAGUAAAAAAAAAUCUUUGUGAAAUACAUAAUAAAUAUUUCAUUUUUGGCAGUGAUGCAUGUGAGAAAAAUGAUAACAAUCUGUUCUUCACUUGUUGUGUUUCUGGUACAUAAGGGAACAGUUUCACAAACCAGUAAGUAUGCUGGUACAGACGCCAAUUAAGAUCAAUCUUCUCAAACGAAAUUAGGUGAAGCCCGUGGGCUGUUAGCUAAU